GUUAACAACUUGUAACAAGCUUGAUGGCAUUAUCAGACUUGUAGCAAAGUUGUUCUAACAAGUCUGAUACAGUCAUGAUAUAAAAGAAUGUUACAAGACUGAUCAUGACUGUAUCGAUCGGAGUUUUUGGAACAACCUUGCAACAAGUCUGAUAAUAUCAACAAGGUUGUUACAAGUUGUUAAC
This is a non-coding RNA of Paramuricea clavata, 184 nucleotides long. Lineage: Eukaryota; Metazoa; Cnidaria; Anthozoa; Malacalcyonacea; Plexauridae. The record is from the annotation of a GenBank genome assembly.